This 468-nucleotide ribosomal RNA is filed under the name uncultured bacterium. Its description in RNAcentral is "partial 16S ribosomal RNA". It matches the Rfam family "Bacterial small subunit ribosomal RNA", at positions 28 to 507 of the family's 1533-position model. The record is from RNAcentral.
GACGAACGCUGGCGGCGUGCUUAACGCAUGCAAGUCGAACGGAAAGGCCCUGCUUUUGUGGGGUGCUCGAGUGGCGAACGGGUGAGUAACACGUGAGUAACCUGCCCUUGACUUUGGGAUAACUUCAGGAAACUGGGGCUAAUACCGGAUAGGAGCUCCUGCUGCAUGGUGGGGGUUGGAAAGUUUCGGCGGUUGGGGAUGGACUCGCGGCUUAUCAGCUUGUUGGUGGGGUAGUGGCUUACCAAGGCUUUGACGGGUAGCCGGCCUGAGAGGGUGACCGGCCACAUUGGGACUGAGAUACGACCCAGACUCCUACGGGAGGCAGCAGUGGGGAAUAUUGCACAAUGGGCGGAAGCCUGAUGCAGCAACGCCGCGUGCGGGAUAACGGCCUUCGGGUUGUAAACCGCUUUCGCCUGUGACGAAGCGUGAGUGACGGUAAUGGGUAAAGAGGCACCGGCUAACUACGUG